GACGAACGCUGGCGGCGUGCUUAACACAUGCAAGUCGAGCGGUAAGGCCCUUUCGGGGGUACACGAGCGGCGAACGGGUGAGUAACACGUGGGUGACCUGCCCUCAGCUCUGGGAUAAGCCUGGGAAACUGGGUCUAAUACCGGAUAUGACUCCAUGACGCAUGUUGUGGGGUGGAAAGCCUUGUGCGGCUGAGGAUGGGCCCGCGGCCUAUCAGCUUGCUGGUGGGGGAUGGCCUACCAAGGCGACGACGGGUAGCCGGCCUGAGAGGGCGACCGGCCACACUGGGACUGAGACACGGCCCAGACUCCUACGGGAGGCAGCAGUGGGGAAUCUUGCGCAAUGGGCGAAAGCCUGACGCAGCGACGCCGCGUGAGGGAUGACGGCCU
RNAcentral lists this ribosomal RNA (387 nucleotides) under uncultured bacterium. RNAcentral describes it as "bacterial SSU rRNA". It matches the Rfam family "Bacterial small subunit ribosomal RNA", at positions 28 to 417 of the family's 1533-position model. The record is from RNAcentral.